RNAcentral lists this long non-coding RNA (417 nucleotides) under Ananas comosus (pineapple). RNAcentral describes it as "long non-coding RNA (ACOM_LNC037452)". The record is from RNAcentral. Lineage: Eukaryota; Viridiplantae; Streptophyta; Magnoliopsida; Poales; Bromeliaceae.
UUUUUUUUUGACUAAAUUAUAAAAAACCCUUCGUAUAAACGUCCGUCUUUUCACUUUUCUCUCCUAACUUUCAAAAACCUACAUUUUACCUCCUAAAUAUUUAAAAUUGUUGUAUUUAGCCGCACACCCCCCCCUCCCUUUUCGUUAGGAUAACAUCACCAUUCCGUCCUUUUCUAAUUUAAACCGAAAAAAUAUUUUUUUAUUAAAAAAUAAGAGUAUUUUGAUUAUUUUGUCCUCUCCGUUAACGUUGUAUCCUCUAAAAAUAUUUCUGAAACUUUAAGGGGAUAAAAUAUAGAUUUUUGAAAGUCAAGAAGAAAGUUAAAAAGCGAGUAUUUACGAGGAGGUUUCUGUAAUUUAACCUUUUUAUUUUUGAAUCUCUACACUUAGUUUAGCUCUUUAAUUUUAUCAAAUUUAAUA